This 450-nucleotide ribosomal RNA is filed under the name uncultured bacterium. RNAcentral describes it as "bacterial SSU rRNA". It matches the Rfam family "Bacterial small subunit ribosomal RNA", at positions 355 to 825 of the family's 1533-position model. The record is from RNAcentral.
UCGAGGAUCUUUAGCAAUGGGCGCAAGCCUGAUGGAGCGACGUCGCGUGAUGGACGAAGUGCUUCGGCACGUAAACAUCUUUUAUGUGGGAUGAAAUUAUUGACAGUACCACAUGAAUAAGGGGCUCCUAACUCUGUGCCAGCAGGAGCGGUAAUACAGAGGCCCCAAGCGUUAUCCGGAAUCACUGGGCGUAAAGCGUGCGUAGGUGGUUUGCUAAGUCAGGUGUGAAAUCCCUGGGCUCAACCCAGGAACUGCAUUUGAUACUGGCAGGCUUGAGUGUGGUAGAGGGUAGUGGAAUUCCCGGUGUAGCGGUGAAAUGCGUAGAUAUCGGGAGGAACAUCAGUGGCGAAGGCGGCUACCUGGACCAACACUGACACUGAGGUACGAAAGCGUGGGGAGCAAACAGGAUUAGAUACCCUCGUAGUCCCUGAGCGGGCUGGCAAGGCGCAU